AGUUUCAGCAGGGUUGAUCAACUGAAAUGGCAAAGUGGAGGAAGGCAAAAGUUAUUAAAUGAUAAACCAAAUUGCAAAGAUAUAAAACAGAGGAAUAUAUUCAUUGCCGCUUCUAUAUUCUUCAAACAAAACCUACAUAAACAAAUGAAUGUUUCUUAAAUAUAAUAUGAGAAGCGUCAUAUCAAUAAGGGGUGAAAGAUAUCUAAAAAUUAGCAAUGAUAAGGGAAAAGAAAUGCCAAGACAUAAAUCAAAUCAGGUGUAUAAAUGAUGAUGAAGGCAAGGUUUUGGUAAAAGAAGAGGAAAUUAAAGAAAGCUGGGGAAACUACUUAUAUAGUCUCUUAAUGGUAGCCACAUAGGCAGCUUUGGAGAUCAUAGUAUUCUAGUGAAGAAAAGAAGGCUAACUACACUUGGAGAAUUUGAACCUCAGAAGUAUGGAUGCUUUAAAGAAGAAAAAGAUGGGUAAAUAUGCCAGUCAGAUGGCAUCCCUAUUAAGUUUGGAAGUGUCUUACGCAAGUAGAAGUUGUGUGCUAACUAAAUUGUUUUAUAAGAUUUAUCAAAGGGAAAAGCCCAAUAAGUAGUUCAGAGCACCUUUGUCCCUUUAUUUAAUAAUACAGAAGAUAUAUAAAGUUACUCAAACUAUAGAGGUAUCAAGCUUGUGAGUCACAGAAUGAAGCUUCACAAGAGUAAUGGAACAUAGAUUAUGAUGAAAUGCAACUAGCUGUCCACCUCUAAUAACCAGUUUUGUUUUAAGAUCAAAUAAGGAAGUAAUUUUUCGAGUAAGAGAUUGAUGGAGAAGUUUGAGAAAAAAUAAAAAAGAAAGAUGCCGUAUGGUUUUUAUCAAUCUAGAGAGAGUUUAUGAAAGAGUUUUCUUAUAGGUGUUCUCUGAUCGCAUUUGGAAUACAUUAGACACAUAAAGGUCUUGAAAGAUACAUACCAAGGGGCAAUCACUGGUAUUUGAACAGUUGGAGGUGACAUAAGAUUUCCCUAAAUGAGUUGGACUGCGGGAUGGCCUAGAGCCCUUGCCUCUUUGCUUGGUUAUGGACAACCUGGAUUGGAGUUAAAAGGGAAGCCAUGGACAUGCACCCUAGAGACUAAAGGCUUCGAGUAGAACUAAACAGAGUAUAAGCAUUGCAAUUUAGCAAUUGACGAGGUUAUAUAAGCAUUGCAAUUUAGCAAUUGAC
Molecule: unclassified non-coding RNA, 1181 nt
Filed under: Hevea brasiliensis (rubber tree)
Lineage: Eukaryota; Viridiplantae; Streptophyta; Magnoliopsida; Malpighiales; Euphorbiaceae
Source: RNAcentral